GAGUAAUGUCUGGGGAUCUGCCUGAUGGAGGGGGAUAACUACUGGAAACGGUAGCUAAUACCGCAUAACGUCGCAAGACCAAAGCGGGGGACCUUCGGGCCUCGCGCCAUCAGAUGAACCCAGAUGGGAUUAGCUAGUAGGUGGGGUAAUGGCUCACCUAGGCGACGAUCCCUAGCUGGUCUGAGAGGAUGACCAGCCACACUGGAACUGAGACACGGUCCAGACUCCUACGGGAGGCAGCAGUGGGGAAUAUUGCACAAUGGGGGAAAUCCUGAUGCAGCCAUGCCGCGUGUAUGAAGAAGGCCUUCCGGUUGUAAAGUACUUUCAGCGAGGGGAAGGCRGUAAGGUUAAUAACCUURCYGAUUGACGUUACUCGCAGAAGAAGCACCGGCUAACUCCGUGCCAGCAGUCGCGGUAAUACGGAGGGUGCAAGCGUUAAUCGGAAUUACUGGGCGUAAAGCGCACGCAGGCGGUUUGUUAAGUCAGAUGUGAAAUCCCCGAGCUUAACUUGGGAACUGCAUUUGAAACUGGCAAGCUAGAGUCUUGUAGAGGGGGGUAGAAUUCCAGGUGUAGCGGUGAAAUGCGUAGAGAUCUGGAGGAAUACCGGUGGCGAAGGCGGCCCCCUGGACAAAGACUGACGCUCAGGUGCGAAAGCGUGGGGAGCAAACAGGAUUAGAUACCCUGGUAGUCCACGCUGUAAACGAUGUCGAUUUGGAGGUUGUGCCCUUGAGGCGUGGCUUCCGGAGCUAACGCGUUAAAUCGACCGCCUGGGGAGUACGGCCGCAAGGUUAAAACUCAA
This 799-nucleotide ribosomal RNA is filed under the name Nissabacter sp. Its description in RNAcentral is "bacterial SSU rRNA". Lineage: Bacteria; Pseudomonadati; Pseudomonadota; Gammaproteobacteria; Enterobacterales; Yersiniaceae. The record is from RNAcentral.